RNAcentral lists this ribosomal RNA (252 nucleotides) under uncultured bacterium. Its description in RNAcentral is "partial 16S ribosomal RNA". It matches the Rfam family "Bacterial small subunit ribosomal RNA", at positions 525 to 775 of the family's 1533-position model. The record is from RNAcentral.
ACGUAGGGGGCAAGCGUUAUCCGGAAUUACUGGGUGUAAAGGGAGCGUAGGCGGCACGCCAAGCCAGAUGUGAAAGCCCGAGGCUUAACCUCGUGGAUUGCAUUUGGAACUGGCGAGCUAGAGUACAGGAGAGGAAAGCGGAAUUCCUAGUGUAGCGGUGAAAUGCGUAGAUAUUAGGAAGAACACCAGUGGCGAAGGCGGCUUUCUGGACUGAAACUGACGCUGAGGCUCGAAAGCGUGGGGAGCAAACAG